RNAcentral lists this ribosomal RNA (450 nucleotides) under uncultured bacterium. RNAcentral describes it as "partial 16S ribosomal RNA". It matches the Rfam family "Bacterial small subunit ribosomal RNA", at positions 354 to 796 of the family's 1533-position model. The record is from RNAcentral.
GUAGGGAAUCUUCGGCAAUGGACGAAAGUCUGACCGAGCAACGCCGCGUGAGUGAAGAAGGUUUUCGGAUCGUAAAACUCUGUUGUUAGAGAAGAACGUUGUGUAGAGUGGAAAAUUACACAAGUGACGGUAUCUAACCAGAAAGGGACGGCUAACUACGUGCCAGCAGCCGCGGUAAUACGUAGGUCCCGAGCGUUGUCCGGAUUUAUUGGGCGUAAAGCGAGCGCAGGUGGUUUAAUAAGUCUGAUGUAAAAGGCAGUGGCUCAACCAUUGUGUGCAUUGGAAACUGUUAGACUUGAGUGCAGUAGAGGAGAGUGGAAUUCCAUGUGUAGCGGUGAAAUGCGUAGAUAUAUGGAGGAACACCGGUGGCGAAAGCGGCUCUCUGGACUGUAACUGACACUGAGGCUCGAAAGUGUGGGUAGCAAACAGGAUUAGAUACCCCUGUAGUCC